UACGUAGGGUGCGAGCGUUGUCCGGAAUUAUUGGGCGUAAAGAGCUUGUAGGCGGUUUGUCGCGUCUGCCGUGAAAGUCCGGGGCUCAACUCCGGAUCUGCGGUGGGUACGGGCAGACUAGAGUGAUGUAGGGGAGACUGGAAUCCUGGUGUAGCGGUGAAAUGCGCAGAUAUCAGGAGGAACACCGGUGGCGAAGGCGGGUCUCUGGGCCGUAACUGACGCUGAGGAGCGAAAGCGUGGGGAGCGAACAGG
This 252-nucleotide ribosomal RNA is filed under the name uncultured bacterium. Its description in RNAcentral is "partial 16S ribosomal RNA". It matches the Rfam family "Bacterial small subunit ribosomal RNA", at positions 524 to 776 of the family's 1533-position model. The record is from RNAcentral.